CAGUAGCCGCGGGAAUACGAAGGGGGCUAGCGUUGCUCGGAAUGACUGGGCGUAAAGGGCGCGUAGGCGGAUGGCACAGUCAGAUGUGAAAUUCCCGGGCUUAACCUGGGGGCUGCAUUUGAUACGUGUUGUCUAGAGUGAGGAAGAGGGUCGUGGAAUUCCCAGUGUAGAGGUGAAAUUCGUAGAUAUUGGGAAGAACACCGGUGGCGAAGGCGGCGACCUGGUCCUUGACUGACGCUGAGGCGCGAAAGCGUGGGGAGCAAACAGGAUUAGAUACCCCGGUAGUCCCUGUCUCUUAUAC
RNAcentral lists this ribosomal RNA (301 nucleotides) under uncultured bacterium. RNAcentral describes it as "partial 16S ribosomal RNA". It matches the Rfam family "Bacterial small subunit ribosomal RNA", at positions 509 to 807 of the family's 1533-position model. The record is from RNAcentral.